RNAcentral lists this long non-coding RNA (663 nucleotides) under Nicotiana benthamiana. Its description in RNAcentral is "long non-coding RNA (NBEN_LNC027047)". Lineage: Eukaryota; Viridiplantae; Streptophyta; Magnoliopsida; Solanales; Solanaceae. The record is from RNAcentral.
CAUUGUAAAGGAUCAUUCUACUCUUUAAACCAAGCCUGAAUUGUUUCUCAGAAGGUUCAGCUGGCAAAUUUUUAGCUCCCACAUAUCUAAUGCUUACACCAUUAAUGGUCAACCAGGUGAUCUCUACAAGUGUUCAAGCAAAGGUUAGUUCUAAUAUCAAAAUAUUUGAAGUUUACACAUAGUAUAAAGAUUAAUUUCCACCUAACAAUGUUAUGCUAGCAGUAAUCUAUGAUUUCAUAUGUUACCUGUUAGGACAUGUUUUCAUAGAUAUCAUGUUAAUGCAGAUACCACCAUAGUGCAUGUGGACGCUGAUGAAACGAACCUCCUUCGAGUUAUCAAUGCUGCACUCAAUCAAUAACUUUUCUUUACUGUGGCCAACCAUAAUCUUACUGUUGUUGGAGUAGAUGCCUCUUUUGUUAAACCUUUCACAACAUCAGUCUUUAUGCUCGGACUAGGUCAGACUACUGAUGUCCUGAUCAAAGCUGAUCAGCCACCAGCCAAAUAUACAUGGUAACAGUAGGAAGCUAGACAGUAACACCCAAAAUAGAGCCAAAACAAAUCAAUCUUGAUCAAGGACGUAGCAAAGAAUACCUUCGUAAUGGCAUGAAAGGAAAAAAUGAAGAACAGAUGCAAAUAAUUUUCUGUAUUUUUGAUUGAUGAAUU